Brassica oleracea var. oleracea is the source of this 125-nucleotide microRNA precursor. It matches the Rfam family "MIR9563 microRNA precursor family". NCBI's taxonomy places the organism in Eukaryota, Viridiplantae, Streptophyta, Magnoliopsida, Brassicales, Brassicaceae. The record is from Rfam.
GGAAUAUAAGAAUCCGUUUCUUAAUUUUUAACUAGAAAAGCUAAGAACCGAUUCUUAAAUAAGAGUUUUAAGAACCGGUUCUUAACUUUUUUAAUUAAAAGUUAAGAGACAGAUUUUUAUAUUCC